Molecule: long non-coding RNA, 257 nt
Filed under: Elaeis guineensis (African oil palm)
Lineage: Eukaryota; Viridiplantae; Streptophyta; Magnoliopsida; Arecales; Arecaceae
Description: long non-coding RNA (EGUI_LNC021742)
Source: RNAcentral
CGCUCUGUUGGCAAUCCUCUAAGCCCCAGACCCUAGUCAUCUUGUCGGAGCCCCAAACCCUUGCCACCUCACCACCGCCUACAUCUCCACACUCACCACCUAUUCUGCUCGCCACCCUCUCCUGUACUCGCUGCAUCCUGGCCGAAUAGAAAAGACAAUGGCGAGGGUUAUCAAGUUGGAGGCUUGGAAAUAGGUAAGCUUAAACAACAGAUUAGCUAAGGCUUUGUAUUGAAUAUUUAUAUAUAAGAGCUAUCGGG